UCGGGAAUUUUGGGCAAUGGGCGAAAGCCUGACCCAGCAACGCCGCGUGAGGGAUGAAGUACUUCGGUAUGUAAACCUCGAAAGAAUGGGAAGAAUAAAUGACGGUACCAUUUAUAAGCUGCGGCUAACUACGUGCCAGCAGCCGCGGUAAUACGUAGGCAGCAAGCGUUGUUCGGAGUUACUGGGCGUAAAGAGUGCGUAGGCGGUUUUCUAAGUUCGGUGUGAAAUCUCCCGGCUUAACUGGGAGGGUGCGCCGAAGACUGGGAAGCUGGAGUGUGGGAAAGGCAGGCGGAAUUCCUGGUGUAGCGGUGAAAUGCGUAGAUAUCAGGAGGAACACCGGCGGUGUAGACGGCUUGCUAGACCAUAACUGACGCUGAGGCACGAAAGCGUGGGUAGCAAACA
RNAcentral lists this ribosomal RNA (402 nucleotides) under uncultured bacterium. RNAcentral's name for it is "bacterial SSU rRNA". It matches the Rfam family "Bacterial small subunit ribosomal RNA", at positions 355 to 774 of the family's 1533-position model. The record is from RNAcentral.